UGAAUGAAGUCCUCGACAUGUCAGACGAUGAAGUUGGUAAAGCCAGCGCCCCCGAAAAGCUCAGUGAUGGGGAAUAUAUCUCAGAUGGUGAAGAAGGUAUUUGCACCUCUCUCUUGCAAUGAGACUUAUCUCCCCACUCCAACUCUCAUUUCUUAUCUCUGAAAAGUAACGCUUCCUCGAGUUACUAACUUCUCAGUCAUCACGGGAAUUAAUUUGGGGGUCAUUUAAAGGCUCGCCUGGGGUCUAUCUAUCCUCUUGCAGACCUGAUUUCUUAAGCCCACUUCCCACCAUGACGCAGAAAAUAAUGUCACUAAUUGUAACGGUUACCCUGUCUGCUGUCACUAUCGAGCAGAAAACUGAAGCUUUAUUGUUCAUGUCUGAAUCUAAAAAGGGGCAGCUUACUGUCUAUAGUUGUCUCGUUUGGUUUUUUCCUUAGUAUAGAAGGCUUCCUUACAGGUUGUGGGGCGAAGGCCCACUCGGUAGUGCGCUUUCUACAGUAAAAUCAGGUUUUGACCUUGGGACUAAGCACAAGAAUUCAACCUAAGUAAAACCACCCUUAACUCUGGACUUGCAACAGGGACUUGAUAAAGAGACUGACAUACAAUACAGCUGUUUGUCACAUGCUCAAUAAAGCUAAUGUUUUCUGCUUCAUUCAAAAGAA
Molecule: long non-coding RNA, 661 nt
Filed under: Rattus norvegicus (Norway rat)
Lineage: Eukaryota; Metazoa; Chordata; Mammalia; Rodentia; Muridae
Description: long non-coding RNA NONRATT017324
Source: RNAcentral